GCCUCGAUAGCUCAGCCUGGCUAGAGCGAGUCCCUUGUAAGGACUAGGCCGAGGGUUCAAAUCCCUCUCGGGGCU
This 75-nucleotide transfer RNA is filed under the name Candidatus Nanohaloarchaea archaeon. RNAcentral describes it as "tRNA-Thr". It matches the Rfam family "tRNA". From Rfam's summary of the family: Transfer RNA (tRNA) molecules are approximately 80 nucleotides in length. Their secondary structure includes four short double-helical elements and three loops (D, anti-codon, and T loops). The record is from RNAcentral. Lineage: Archaea; Methanobacteriati; Methanobacteriota; Candidatus Nanohaloarchaea.